RNAcentral lists this ribosomal RNA (253 nucleotides) under uncultured bacterium. RNAcentral's name for it is "partial 16S ribosomal RNA". It matches the Rfam family "Bacterial small subunit ribosomal RNA", at positions 524 to 776 of the family's 1533-position model. The record is from RNAcentral.
UACGUAGGGGGCGAGCGUUGUCCGGAAUCAUUGGGCGUAAAGCGCGUGUAGGCGGCCCGGUAAGUCCGCUGUGAAAGUCCAGGGCUCAACCCUGGGAUGCCGGUGGAUACUGUCGGGCUCGAGUCCGGAAGGGGCGAGUGGGAUUCCUGGUGUAGCGGUGAAAUGCGCAGAUAUCAGGAGGAACACCAAUGGCGAAGGCAGCUCGCUGGGACGUGACUGACGCUGAGACGCGAAAGCGUGGGGAGCAAACAGG